UACGAGUGCCCCAAGCGUUAUCCGGAAUUAUUGGGCGUAAAGGGUGUGUAGGCGGUUGUGUUAGUCUCAUGUUAAAUUCUUCGGCUUAACCGGGGUACCGCAUGGGAAACGGCACAACUAGAGGAUGCGAGGGAUCUGUGGAACUCAUGGAGUAGGGGUGAAAUCCGUUGAUAUCAUGGGGAACACCGAAAGCGAAGGCAGCAGAUUGGCGCAUUCCUGACGCUGAAACACGAAAGCGUGGGUAGCGAAUGGG
This 253-nucleotide ribosomal RNA is filed under the name uncultured bacterium. RNAcentral's name for it is "partial 16S ribosomal RNA". It matches the Rfam family "Bacterial small subunit ribosomal RNA", at positions 524 to 776 of the family's 1533-position model. The record is from RNAcentral.